This 135-nucleotide small nucleolar RNA is filed under the name Echinops telfairi (small Madagascar hedgehog). Its description in RNAcentral is "Small nucleolar RNA SNORA5 (ENSETEG00000021666.1)". It matches the Rfam family "Small nucleolar RNA SNORA5". Rfam says of the family: ACA5 is a member of the H/ACA class of snoRNA that guide the sites of modification of uridines to pseudouridines. Lineage: Eukaryota; Metazoa; Chordata; Mammalia; Afrosoricida; Tenrecidae. The record is from RNAcentral.
UGCAGCCGUGUCAGAUGCAGUGCGUGCCCCACCCAUGGCUGGCACUGGCCCAAAAGGCUGCCACAGAGACACUGUAACUCAUGGGCCCUGUUCCUCUCUGCUGAGCCUCAGGGAUAAACGUUGUUACAGACAUUG